This 199-nucleotide long non-coding RNA is filed under the name Hordeum vulgare. RNAcentral describes it as "long non-coding RNA (HVUL_LNC016727)". The record is from RNAcentral. Lineage: Eukaryota; Viridiplantae; Streptophyta; Magnoliopsida; Poales; Poaceae.
GAUUAUUUACCGAUUCAUAUUAUUUUUAGCACUAACCUAUUAAACCAGUGCCCAUUGUCACUUGAUGUUUUCUGCAUGUUUUUGAGUUUUCAGGUUUAUAGUACCAAACGAAGUCCAAUUGCCCUUGGUGUUAUUUUUGUGCAGAAAUAAAAGUUGUCAGAAUUGGACGAAAUUUUUGUGAAUUAUUUCUGGAAUAUAU